GGACUGGUUAGCUCAGUGGUUUGAGCAACGGUGCUGGCAACAAUGACAACACCGAGGUCGCGGGUUCGAUUCCCGCUUGGUCCC
This is a non-coding RNA of Apaloderma vittatum (bar-tailed trogon), 84 nucleotides long. NCBI's taxonomy places the organism in Eukaryota, Metazoa, Chordata, Aves, Trogoniformes, Trogonidae. The record is from Rfam.